Molecule: ribosomal RNA, 536 nt
Filed under: uncultured bacterium
Lineage: Bacteria
Description: bacterial SSU rRNA
Rfam family: Bacterial small subunit ribosomal RNA
Source: RNAcentral
AGAGUUUGAUCCUGGCUCAGAACGAACGCUGGCGGCAGGCUUAACACAUGCAAGUCGAGCGAAGUCUUCGGACUUAGCGGCGGACGGGUGAGUAACGCGUGGGAACGUGCCCUUUGCUACGGGAUAGUCCUGGGAAACUGGGUUUAAUACCGUAUGGUGUCUACGGACUAAAGAUUUAUCGGCAAAGGAUCGGCCCGCGUUGGAUUAGGUAGUUGGUGGGGUAAUGGCCUACCAAGCCGACGAUCCAUAGCUGGUUUGAGAGGAUGAUCAGCCACACUGGGACUGAGACACGGCCCAGACUCCUACGGGAGGCAGCAGUGGGGAAUCUUAGACAAUGGGGGCAACCCUGAUCUAGCCAUGCCGCGUGAGCGAUGAAGGCCUUAGGGUUGUAAAGCUCUUUCGCUGGGGAAGAUAAUGACGGUACCCAGUAAAGAAGCCCCGGCUAACUCCGUGCCAGCAGCCGCGGUAAUACGGAGGGGGCUAGCGUUGUUCGGAAUUACUGGGCGUAAAGCGCGCGUAGGCGGAUUGGAAAGUUG